GACGAACGCUGGCGGCGUGCCUAAUACAUGCAAGUCGAACGCUUCUUUCCUCCCGAGUGCUUGCACUCCAUUGGAAAGAGGAGUGGCGGACGGGUGAGUAACACGUGGGUAACCUACCCAUCAGAGGGGGAUAACACUUGGAAACAGGUGCUAAUACCGCAUAACAGUUUAUGCCGCAUGGCAUAAGAGUGAAAGGCGCUUUCGGGUGUCGCUGAUGGAUGGACCCGCGGUGCAUUAGCUAGUUGGUGAGGUAACGGCUCACCAAGGCCACGAUGCAUAGCCGACGUGAGAGGGUGAUCGGCCACACUGGGACUGAGACACGGCCCAGACUCCUACGGGAGGCAGCAGUAGGGAAUCUUCGGCAAUGGACGAAAGUCUGACCGAGCAACGCCGCGUGAGUGAAGAAGGUUUUCGGAUCGUAAAACUCUGUUGUUAGAGAAGAACAAGGACGUUAGUAACUGAACGUCCCCUGACGGUAUCUAACCAGAAAGCCACGGCUAACUACGUG
This 508-nucleotide ribosomal RNA is filed under the name uncultured bacterium. Its description in RNAcentral is "partial 16S ribosomal RNA". It matches the Rfam family "Bacterial small subunit ribosomal RNA", at positions 28 to 507 of the family's 1533-position model. The record is from RNAcentral.